UACGAAGGGGGCGAGCGUUGUUCGGAUUUACUGGGCGUAAAGGGCGCGCAGGCGGUCCUGUUUGUCGAGUGUGAAAGCCCCGGGCUCAACCUGGGAAUGGCGCUCGAAACGGCGGGACUAGAGAUCGGGAGAGGAGCGUGGAAUUCCCAGUGUAGAGGUGAAAUUCGUAGAUAUUGGGAAGAACACCGGUGGCGAAGGCGGCGCUCUGGACCGAGACUGACGCUGAGGCGCGAAAGCGUGGGGAGCAAACAGG
Molecule: ribosomal RNA, 253 nt
Filed under: uncultured bacterium
Lineage: Bacteria
Description: partial 16S ribosomal RNA
Rfam family: Bacterial small subunit ribosomal RNA
Source: RNAcentral